GUGGGGAAUUUUGGACAAUGGGCGAAAGCCUGAUCCAGCCAUGCCGCGUGCAGGAUGAAGGCCUUCGGGUUGUAAACUGCUUUUGUACGGAACGAAAAGACUCCUUCUAAUAAAGGGGGUCCAUGACGGUACCGUAAGAAUAAGCACCGGCUAACUACGUGCCAGCAGCCGCGGUAAUACGUAGGGUGCAAGCGUUAAUCGGAAUUACUGGGCGUAAAGCGUGCGCAGGCGGUUAUAUAAGACAGAUGUGAAAUCCCCGGGCUCAACCUGGGAACUGCAUUUGUGACUGUAUAGCUAGAGUACGGUAGAGGGGGAUGGAAUUCCGCGUGUAGCAGUGAAAUGCGUAGAUAUGCGGAGGAACACCGAUGGCGAAGGCAAUCCCCUGGACCUGUACUGACGCUCAUGUACGAAAGCGUGGGGAGCAAACAGGAUUAGAAACCCUUGUAGUCC
This 450-nucleotide ribosomal RNA is filed under the name uncultured bacterium. RNAcentral describes it as "partial 16S ribosomal RNA". It matches the Rfam family "Bacterial small subunit ribosomal RNA", at positions 354 to 796 of the family's 1533-position model. The record is from RNAcentral.